Molecule: ribosomal RNA, 1041 nt
Filed under: Triticum aestivum (bread wheat)
Lineage: Eukaryota; Viridiplantae; Streptophyta; Magnoliopsida; Poales; Poaceae
Description: partial small subunit ribosomal RNA
Source: RNAcentral
AUGCCCUACACCUCCCGGCGGCGGCGGCGGCGGCGGCGGCGAGCAGCAAGCAGUCAGCGGCAAGAUGAGGUCUGUUCUGAUGAAGGGGCACGAGCGCCCGCUCACGUUCCUCAAGUACAACCGGGACGGCGACCUGCUCUUCUCCUGCGCCAAAGGCCACACCCCCACCGUGUGGUACGCCUCCAACGGCGACCGCCUCGGCACUACCGCGGCCACAACGGCGCCGUGUGGUCCUGCGACGUCUCCCGCCACUCCACGCGCCUCAUCACCGGGAGCGCCGACCAGACCGCCAAGCUCUGGGACGUCCAGACGGGGAGGGAGCUCUUCACCUUCAGGUUCGACGCCUCCGCGCGCUCCGUCGACUUCGCCAUCGGCGACCACCUGGCGGUCAUCACCACCGACAGCUUCAUGGGGAAGACGCCCACCGCGCAGGUCAAGCGCAUCGCCGAGGACCUGCAAGACCACCGGAAAGCUGCUGAAGAGUCAGACAAGGAGGCUGGACAUCAGAAGGCAAUUAGCUCACUCUCAAAAUCCUUAGAUUGGUCUCAUUUCCUCACAGGUUCCUUGGAUAAAUCUGCUAAGCUAUGGGAUGCAAGAACACUGACCCUGAUAAAGACAUAUGUCACAGAGCGACCAGUUAAUGCUGUUGACAUGUCUCCUACUCUUGAUAAUGUGGUUAUUGGAGGUGGUCAAGAUGCAAUGAACGUUACUAUGACAGAUCGCCGUGCCGGUAAAUUCGAGGCCAAAUUUUUCCACAAGAUUUUACAAGAAGAGAUUGGUGGUGUUAAAGGACAUUUUGGACCAAUCAAUGCAUUGGCAUUUAAUCCUGAUGGGAAGCGGUUAUUUCAUAUUACAUUGUAUUUUGAUUUCUUAUAUUCGUAUUCUGCCUCUGCACUUGGGUUUGUGUUAUGCCUCUGUUUCACACUUGUUUUAACGACCUGUGUUUUCCCAUGUAAUGUCCAUAGCUUUUCGAGUGGUGGGGAGGAUGGAUAUGUGAGGCUACACCAUUUUGAUCCUGAGUAUUUCAACAUCAAGAUGUAA